RNAcentral lists this ribosomal RNA (1287 nucleotides) under metagenome. RNAcentral's name for it is "bacterial SSU rRNA". It matches the Rfam family "Bacterial small subunit ribosomal RNA", at positions 242 to 1520 of the family's 1533-position model. The record is from RNAcentral.
UAGCUAGUUGGUGAGGUAAAGGCUUACCAAGGCGACGAUCUGUAGCGGGUCUGAGAGGAUGAUCCGCCACACUGGAACUGAGACACGGUCCAGACUCCUACGGGAGGCAGCAGUGGGGAAUUUUGGACAAUGGGGGCAACCCUGAUCCAGCCAUGCCGCGUGAGUGAAGAAGGCCUUCGGGUUGUAAAGCUCUUUCGGCCGGGAAGAAAUCGCAUGGGCCAAUACCCUGUGUGGAUGACGGUACCGGAAUAAGAAGCACCGGCUAACUACGUGCCAGCAGCCGCGGUAAUACGUAGGGUGCGAGCGUUAAUCGGAAUUACUGGGCGUAAAGCGUGCGCAGGCGGUUUUGUAAGACAGGCGUGAAAUCCCCGGGCUUAACCUGGGAACUGCGUUUGUGACUGCAAGGCUAGAGUACGGCAGAGGGGGGUGGAAUUCCACGUGUAGCAGUGAAAUGCGUAGAGAUGUGGAGGAACACCAAUGGCGAAGGCAGCCCCCUGGGUCGAUACUGACGCUCAUGCACGAAAGCGUGGGUAGCAAACAGGAUUAGAUACCCUGGUAGUCCACGCCCUAAACUAUGUCAACUAGGUGUUGGGUGGGUAAAACCAUUUAGUACCGUAGCUAACGCGUGAAGUUGACCGCCUGGGGAGUACGGCCGCAAGGUUAAAACUCAAAGGAAUUGACGGGGACCCGCACAAGCGGUGGAUGAUGUGGAUUAAUUCGAUGCAACGCGAAGAACCUUACCUACCCUUGACAUGCCAGGAACUUGCCAGAGAUGGCUUGGUGCCCGAAAGGGAGCCUGGACACAGGUGCUGCAUGGCUGUCGUCAGCUCGUGUCGUGAGAUGUUGGGUUAAGUCCCGCAACGAGCGCAACCCUUGUCGUUAAUUGCCAUCAUUUAGUUGGGCACUUUAACGAGACUGCCGGUGACAAACCGGAGGAAGGUGGGGAUGACGUCAAGUCCUCAUGGCCCUUAUGGGUAGGGCUUCACACGUCAUACAAUGGUCGGUACAAAGGGUUGCCAAGCCGCGAGGCGGAGCCAAUCCCAGAAAGCCGAUCGUAGUCCGGAUUGCAGGCUGCAACUCGCCUGCAUGAAGUCGGAAUCGCUAGUAAUCGUGGAUCAGCAUGUCACGGUGAAUACGUUCCCGGGUCUUGUACACACCGCCCGUCACACCAUGGGAGCGGGUUCCGCCAGAAGUAGGUAGCCUAACCGCAAGGGGGGCGCUUACCACGGCGGGGUUCGUGACUGGGGUGAAGUCGUAACAAGGUAGCCGUAGGGGAACCUGCGGCUG